RNAcentral lists this transfer RNA (74 nucleotides) under Camelus ferus (Wild Bactrian camel). It matches the Rfam family "tRNA". Rfam says of the family: Transfer RNA (tRNA) molecules are approximately 80 nucleotides in length. Lineage: Eukaryota; Metazoa; Chordata; Mammalia; Artiodactyla; Camelidae. The record is from Rfam by way of RNAcentral.
GAGGGUAUAGCUCAAGUGGUAGAGCACAUGCUUAGCAUGCAACAAGGUCGUGGGUUCAAUCCCCAGUACCUCCU